RNAcentral lists this ribosomal RNA (225 nucleotides) under uncultured Methylibium sp. RNAcentral describes it as "partial 16S ribosomal RNA". It matches the Rfam family "Bacterial small subunit ribosomal RNA", at positions 568 to 792 of the family's 1533-position model. Lineage: Bacteria; Pseudomonadati; Pseudomonadota; Betaproteobacteria; Burkholderiales; Sphaerotilaceae. The record is from RNAcentral.
UGCGCAGGCGGCUUUGCAAGACAGAUGUGAAAUCCCCGGGCUCAACCUGGGAACUGCAUUUGUGACUGCAUGGCUGGAGUGCGGCAGAGGGGGAUGGAAUUCCGCGUGUAGCAGUGAAAUGCGUAGAUAUGCGGAGGAACACCGAUGGCGAAGGCAAUCCCCUGGACAGUGACUGACGCUCAUAUGCGAAAGCGUGGGGAUCAAACAGGAUUAGAUACCCCAGUA